RNAcentral lists this ribosomal RNA (433 nucleotides) under uncultured bacterium. RNAcentral describes it as "partial 16S ribosomal RNA". It matches the Rfam family "Bacterial small subunit ribosomal RNA", at positions 29 to 507 of the family's 1533-position model. The record is from RNAcentral.
AACGAACGCUGGCGGCAUGCCUAACACAUGCAAGUCGAACGAAGGCUUCGGCCUUAGUGGCGCACGGGUGCGUAACGCGUGGGAAUCUGCCCUUUGGUUCGGAAUAACAGCUGGAAACGGCUGCUAAUACCGGAUGAUGACGAAAGUCCCAAGAUUUAUCGCCAGAGGAUGAGCCUGCGUUGGAUUAGGUAGUUGGUAGGGUAAAGGCCUAUCAAGCCGACGACCCAUAGCUGGUCUGAGAGGAUGAUCAGCCACACUGGCACUGAGACACGGCCCAGACUACUACGGAAUGGAGCAGUGGGGAAUAGAGGACAGUGGGGGGAAGCCUGAUCCAGCUAUGCCGCGUGAGUGAUGAAGGCCCUAGGGUUGGAAAGCACUUUUACCCGGGAAGAUAUUGACUGUACCGGGAGAAUAAGCCCCGGCUAACUCCGUG